Molecule: ribosomal RNA, 407 nt
Filed under: uncultured bacterium
Lineage: Bacteria
Description: partial 16S ribosomal RNA
Rfam family: Bacterial small subunit ribosomal RNA
Source: RNAcentral
GACGAACGCUGGCGGCGUGCCUAAUACAUGCAAGUAGAACGCAGUUGCGAACGGAUGAGUAACGCGUAGGUAACUUCCUGGUAGCGGAGGGUAACGAUUGGAAAAGAUAGCUAAUACCGCAUACUACCAGAGGGACCUGCGUUGUAUUAGCUAGUUGGUGGGGUAACGGCUCACCAAGGCAACGAUACAUAGCCGGCCUGAGAGGGUUAUCGGCCACACUGGGACUGAGACACGGCCCAGACUCCUACGGGAGGCAGCAGUAGGGAAUCUUCGGCAAUGGACGGAAGGCUGACCGAGGAACGCCGCGUGAGUGAAGAAGGUUUUCGGAUUGUAAAGCUUUGUUGUAAGAGAAGCGGUAUCUUACCAGAAAGGGAUGGCUAACUACGUGCCAGCAGCCGCGGUAAUUC